GCGGCAGGCUUAACACAUGCAAGUCGAACGCACCGCAAGGUGAGUGGCAGACGGGUGAGUAACACGUGGGAACGUACCCUUUUGUUCGGAAUAACCCUGGGAAACUAGGGCUAAUACCGGAUACGCCCUAACGGGGAAAGGUUUACUGCAGAAGGAUCGGCCCGCGUCCGAUUAGUUUGUUGGUGGGGUAAUGGCCUACUAAGGCUUCGAUCGGUAGCUGGUCUGAGAGGAUGACCAGCCACAUUGGGACUGAGACACGGCCCAAACUCCUACGGGAGGCAGCAGUGGGGAAUAUUGGACAAUGGGCGCAAGCCUGAUCCAGCCAUGCCGCGUGAGUGAUGAAGGCCUUAGGGUUGUAAAGCUCUUUUACCUGGGAAGAUCAUGACGGUACCAGGAGAAUAAGCCCCGGCUAACUUCGUGCCAGCAGCCGCGGUAAUACGAAGGGGGCUAGCGUUGUUCGGAUUUACUGGGCGUAAAGGGCGCGUAGGCGGGCUGAUAAGUCAGGGGUGAAAUCCCAAGGCUCAACCUUGGAACUGCCUUUGAUACUGUUGGCCUUGAGUCCGGGAGAGGUGAGUGGAACUGCGA
Molecule: ribosomal RNA, 585 nt
Filed under: uncultured bacterium
Lineage: Bacteria
Description: bacterial SSU rRNA
Rfam family: Bacterial small subunit ribosomal RNA
Source: RNAcentral